RNAcentral lists this ribosomal RNA (492 nucleotides) under uncultured bacterium. RNAcentral's name for it is "partial 16S ribosomal RNA". It matches the Rfam family "Bacterial small subunit ribosomal RNA", at positions 29 to 507 of the family's 1533-position model. The record is from RNAcentral.
AGUGAACGCUGGCGGUAGGCCUAACACAUGCAAGUCGAACGGCAGCACAGUAAGAGCUUGCUCUUACGGGUGGCGAGUGGCGGACGGGUGAGGAAUACAUCGGCAUCUACUUUUUCGUGGGGGAUAACGUAGGGAAACUUACGCUAAUACCGCAUACGACCUACGGGUGAAAGCAGGGGAUCUUCGGACCUUGCGUGAUUGAAUGAGCCGAUGUCGGAUUAGCUAGUUGGCGGGGUAAAGGCCCACCAAGGCGACGAUCCGUAGCUGGUCUGAGAGGAUGAUCGGCCACACUGGAACUGAGACACGGUCCAGACUCCUACGGGAGGCAGCAGUGGGGAAUAUUGGACAAUGGGCGCAAGCCUGAUCCAGCCAUACCGCGUGGGUGAAGAAGGCCUUCGGGUUGUAAAGCCCUUUUGUUGGGAAAGAAAAGCAGCAGGUUAAUACCCCGCUGUUCUGACGGUACCCAAAGAAUAAGCACCGGCUAACUUCGUG